ACAACGAAGAGUUUGAUCCUGGCUCAGGAUGAACGCUAGCGACAGGCUUAACACAUGCAAGUCGAGGGGCAGCGGGGGAGGAGCAAUCCUCCCGCCGGCGACCGGCGCACGGGUGAGUAACACGUAUGGAACCUGCCCGCAGCAGGGGGAUAAGCGGAAGAAAUUCCGUCUAAUACCGCGUAGCAUCCCCGGGAGGCAUCUCCCGGGGAUCAAAGGAGGCAACUCCGGCUGCGGAUGGCCAUGCGCCGCAUUAGCUAGUUGGCGGGGUAACGGCCCACCAAGGCGACGAUGCGUAGGGGUUCUGAGAGGAAGGUCCCCCACAC
Molecule: ribosomal RNA, 323 nt
Filed under: Duncaniella sp.
Lineage: Bacteria; Pseudomonadati; Bacteroidota; Bacteroidia; Bacteroidales; Muribaculaceae
Description: bacterial SSU rRNA
Rfam family: Bacterial small subunit ribosomal RNA
Source: RNAcentral